AUUGAACGCUGGCGGCAGGCCUAACACAUGCAAGUCGAACGGUAACAGGAAGCAGCUUGCUGCUUUGCUGACGAGUGGCGGACGGGUGAGUAAUGUCUGGGAAACUGCCUGAUGGAGGGGGAUAACUACUGGAAACGGUAGCUAAUACCGCAUAACGUCGCAAGACCAAAGAGGGGGACCUUCGGGCCUCUUGCCAUCGGAUGUGCCCAGAUGGGAUUAGCUAGUAGGUGGGGUAACGGCUCACCUAGGCGACGAUCCCUAGCUGGUCUAAGAGGAUGACCAGCCACACUGGAACUGAGACACGGUCCAGACUCCUACGGGAGGCAGCAGUGGGGAAUAUUGCACAAUGGGCGCAAGCCUGAUGCAGCCAUGCCGCGUGUAUGAAGAAGGCCUUCGGGUUGUAAAGUACUUUCAGCGGGGAGGAAGGGAGUAAAGUUAAUACCUUUGCUCAUUGACGUUACCCGCAGAAGAAGCACCGGCUAACUCCGU
This 489-nucleotide ribosomal RNA is filed under the name uncultured bacterium. Its description in RNAcentral is "partial 16S ribosomal RNA". It matches the Rfam family "Bacterial small subunit ribosomal RNA", at positions 30 to 506 of the family's 1533-position model. The record is from RNAcentral.